Molecule: ribosomal RNA, 670 nt
Filed under: uncultured Alphaproteobacteria bacterium
Lineage: Bacteria; Pseudomonadati; Pseudomonadota; Alphaproteobacteria
Description: bacterial SSU rRNA
Rfam family: Bacterial small subunit ribosomal RNA
Source: RNAcentral
GCGGCGGACGGGUUAGUAACGCGUGGGAAUGUACCCUUCUCUACGGAAUAGCCUCGGGAAACUGAGAGUAAUACCGUAUACGCCCUUCGGGGGAAAGAUUUAUCGGAGAAGGAUCAGCCCGCGUAAGAUUAGAUAGUUGGUGGGGUAAUGGCCUACCAAGUCUACGAUCUUUAGCUGGUUUUAGAGGAUGAUCAGCAACACUGGGACUGAGACACGGCCCAGACUCCUACGGGAGGCAGCAGUGGGGAAUCUUGGACAAUGGGCGCAAGCCUGAUCCAGCCAUGCCGCGUGUGUGAUGAAGGCCUUAGGGUCGUAAAGCACUUUCGCUAGAGAUGAUAAUGACAGUAUCUAGUAAAGAAGUCCCGGCUAACUCUGUGCCAGCAGCCGCGGUAAUACAGAGGGUGCAAGCGUUAAUCGGAGUUACUGGGCGUAAAGGGUGCGUAGGCGGAUGCUUAAGUCGGAUGUGAAAGCCCCGGGCUUAACCUGGGAACUGCAUUCGAUACUGGGUAUCUAGAGUAUGGUAGAGGAAAGUGGAAUUUCCGGUGUAGCGGUGAAAUGCGUAGAUAUCGGAAAGAACACCAGUGGCGAAGGCGGCUUUCUGGACCUAUACUGACGCUGAGGUACGAAAGCGUGGGGAGCGAACAGGAUUAGAGACCCUGGUAGUCCACGC